AAUGCAGAGGUGGGGGACAGAGUGGGUGGGGAGGGGAGCCGCCAUACAGUGGCCAGGACCAGCUUUGCCCAAGUGGUGGCAACCGCAUGACCACAGGAACGAUGGCGUGAGCCCCGUGGCAACCUGGAGGAAGGGCCAAGCCACUGGUGAAUAUGCUGCAAAAAAUAUGCUGGAACUUCUAUGAAUACCACAGGGUGUGAGAAGAAAACAUUAGAACUUCUAUUUUGUACCUGUGUUACUCCACAACAAGAAAGCAAUCAGCUUGAUCAAUGCCUACUGUAAAGACGGCACCGCCCUCCGGAGGUCCUUUCUCAGCCCUGGUGUUCGGACAGCCACAUCCCCUCGCAGCAGGGGGAGGCCUGAAGCAUAGAGGGGCCCAUGCAGGUCUAUUCUGUUUCAGCGAAUUGCCUGGGAAAUAAUCCAGGAUCCAUUUCGUGUGGUCAUCUUGUCUCCCUGGUCCCCUCCAGCCUUUCCUCAUCUUUUGUGACCUGGUCACUCUGGAAGGGCGCUGGCCAGUUAGUCCACAGGAUGGGCCUCCCCUGGGGCUUUUCUGAUGCUUCCUUAUGAUGGCACUGGCAUCCUGAGGGGGAGGACCACAGAGAGGAGGUGCUCCUCAUCACACCACAUGGGGGUCCAUGCACCAGUGCCACUGCUUUCCAGGGCUCUUCACCUUCAUCACUGGUGGAGGUGGCGUCUGCCAAGAAGCAGAAAGUUGAGGCUUAGAAGGUGCACGGCCCUACCUCUUCCGAGGUGCCCCUGCGGGCUGUCUACAGACCAGGCAGCACAUGCCUGAUAGCAGCUGCAUAAGGAAAAGCAGGAGCCAGCUCGUGCACAGUGGCCUCAAGUGUGCACUGGGCAUGUUCUCUGCCUCACCAUCCCUGUGUGACAGAUGAAGCAUGACAGCCCUCAACAGAAGCCAAGGCCAAGUCCUCGAACUUCCUAGUCUGCACAAUGA
RNAcentral lists this long non-coding RNA (955 nucleotides) under Homo sapiens (human). RNAcentral's name for it is "long intergenic non-protein coding RNA 1471". Lineage: Eukaryota; Metazoa; Chordata; Mammalia; Primates; Hominidae. The record is from RNAcentral.